GAGUUUGAUCAUGGCUCAGGGUGAACGCUAGCGGCGCGCCUAACACAUGCAAGUCGAGCGAUCGGCGUCGGUGAAGUUCCUUCGGGGAUGGAACUGACGUACGGAGCGGCGAACGGGUGAGUAACACGUAGCUAACCUGCCCCCGCGACGGGGAUAACCCUUCGAAAGGAGGGCUAAUACCCGAUGGUCUUCCUGGAGCGUGAGCUCGGGGAAGUAAAGGCGCUUCGGCGCCACGUGGGGAGGGGGCUGCGGCCCAUCAGCUUGUUGGCGGGGUAACGGCCCACCAAGGCGAUGACGGGUAGGGGGCCUGAGAGGGUGGCCCCCCACAUGGGGACUGAGAUACGGCCCUGACUCCUACGGGAGGCAGCAGUGGGGGAUCUUGGGCAAUGCCGGAAACGGUGACCCAGCGACGCCGCGUGGGGGACGAAGCCCUUCGGGGUGUAAACCCCUUUUCUGGGGGAAGAAUAAGGCGGGGAGGGAAUGUCCCGCCGAUGACGGUACCCCAGGAAUAAGCCCCGGCUAACUACGUGCCAGCAGCCGCGGUAAGACGUAGGGGGCGAGCGUUACCCGGAUUUACUGGGCGUAAAGGGCGCCUAGGCGGUUCGGCAAGUCGUCUGUGAAAGUCCCUGGCUCAACUGGGGGAGGUCGGACGAAACUGUCGGGCUAGAGGGAGGCAGAGGAAGGUGGAACGGCCGGAGUAGCGGUGAAAUGCGUAGAUACCGGCCGGUACCCCGAUGGCGAAGGCAACCUUCUGGGCCGUCCCUGACGCUGAAGCGCGAAAGCGUGGGGAGCAAACCGGAUUAGAUACCCGGGUAGUCCACGCCCUAAACGAUGUGGGCUAGGUGUCGGGCGAGCAGUCGCUCGGUGCCGCAGCUAACGCGUUAAGCCCACCGCCUGGGUAGUACGGCCGCAAGGCUGAACUCAAGGGAAUUGACGGGGCCCCGCACGAGCGGUGAGCAUGUGGUUUAAUUCGAUGCUAAACGAAGAACCUUACCCGGGUUUGACAUGCUGGUGGUACCGACCCGAAAGGAAGGGACCCAGGCCUUCGGGCGUUUGGGAACCAGCACAGUGGCUGCAUGGCUGUUCGUCAGCU
RNAcentral lists this ribosomal RNA (1093 nucleotides) under uncultured Pseudomonas sp. RNAcentral's name for it is "bacterial SSU rRNA". It matches the Rfam family "Bacterial small subunit ribosomal RNA", at positions 9 to 1060 of the family's 1533-position model. Lineage: Bacteria; Pseudomonadati; Pseudomonadota; Gammaproteobacteria; Pseudomonadales; Pseudomonadaceae. The record is from RNAcentral.